Molecule: ribosomal RNA, 737 nt
Filed under: Peptostreptococcus anaerobius
Lineage: Bacteria; Bacillati; Bacillota; Clostridia; Peptostreptococcales; Peptostreptococcaceae
Description: bacterial SSU rRNA
Rfam family: Bacterial small subunit ribosomal RNA
Source: RNAcentral
GAUGAACGCUGGCGGCGUGCUUAACACAUGCAAGUCGAGCGCGUCUGAUUUGAUGCUUGCAUUGAUGAAAGAUGAGCGGCGGACGGGUGAGUAACGCGUGGGUAACCUGCCCUAUACACAUGGAUAACAUACUGAAAAGUUUACUAAUACAUGAUAAUAUAUAUUUACGGCAUCGUAGAUAUAUCAAAGUGUUAGCGGUAUAGGAUGGACCCGCGUCUGAUUAGCUAGUUGGUGAGAUAACUGCCCACCAAGGCGACGAUCAGUAGCCGACCUGAGAGGGUGAUCGGCCACAUUGGAACUGAGACACGGUCCAAACUCCUACGGGAGGCAGCAGUGGGGAAUAUUGCACAAUGGGCGCAAGCCUGAUGCAGCAACGCCGCGUGAACGAUGAAGGUCUUCGGAUCGUAAAGUUCUGUUGCAGGGGAAGAUAAUGACGGUACCCUGUGAGGAAGCCCCGGCUAACUACGUGCCAGCAGCCGCGGUAAUACGUAGGGGGCUAGCGUUAUCCGGAUUUACUGGGCGUAAAGGGUGCGUAGGUGGUCUUUCAAGUCGGUGGUUAAAGGCUACGGCUCAACCGUAGUUAGCCUCCGAAACUGGAAGACUUGAGUGCAGGAGAGGAAAGUGGAAUUCCUAGUGUAGCGGUGAAAUGCGUAGAUAUUAGGAGGAAUACCGGUGGCGAAGGCGACUUUCUGGACUUUUACUGACGCUCAGGUACGAAAGCGUGGGGAGCAAACAGG